This 108-nucleotide small nucleolar RNA is filed under the name Theobroma cacao (cacao). RNAcentral's name for it is "Plant small nucleolar RNA R71". It matches the Rfam family "Plant small nucleolar RNA R71". From Rfam's summary of the family: R71 is a member of the C/D box family of snoRNAs containing the C (UGAUGA) and D (CUGA) box motifs. Multiple nearly identical copies of this snoRNA have been identified in Arabidopsis, and it is thought to function as a 2'-O-ribose methylation guide for 18S ribosomal RNA. The record is from Rfam by way of RNAcentral. Lineage: Eukaryota; Viridiplantae; Streptophyta; Magnoliopsida; Malvales; Malvaceae.
AAGCUCAUGGUGUGGACAUCUUUUAAGCAGAUCCUUAAAUCUCUCCCAAGCUUCAUACAAGGAUUCACCAUCCAAUUUUAUAAAUGUAGUUAUAUCAUUCCUUAUCUU